Molecule: ribosomal RNA, 468 nt
Filed under: uncultured bacterium
Lineage: Bacteria
Description: partial 16S ribosomal RNA
Rfam family: Bacterial small subunit ribosomal RNA
Source: RNAcentral
GACGAACGCUGGCGGCGUGCUUAACACAUGCAAGUCGAACGGAAAGGCCCUGCUUUUGUGGGGUGCUCGAGUGGCGAAAGGGUGAGUAACACGUGAGUAACCUGCCCUUGACUUUGGGAUAACUUCAGGAAACUGGGGCUAAUACCGGAUAGGAGCUCCUGCUGCAUGGUGGGGGUUGGAAAGUUUCGGAGGUUGGGGAUGGACUCGCGGCUUAUCAGCUUGUUGGUGGGGUAGUGGCUUACCAAGGCUUUGACGGGUAGCCGGCCUGAGAGGGUGACCGGCCACAUUGGGACUGAGAUACGGCCCAGCCUCCUACGGGAGACAUCAGUGGCGAAUAUUGCACAAUGGGCGGAAGCCUGAUGCAGCACCGCCGCGUGCGGGAUGACGGCUUUCGGGUUGUAAACCGCUUUCGCCUGUGACGCAGCGUGAGUGACGGUAAUGGGUAAAGAAGCACCGGCUAACUACGUG